CGUCAUUGUUGAUCCAUCGCCUCUUUGCAAGACAAGGGGAGGAAAGUCCGGGCAGCGCAGUGCAUCUUGCUUCCUAACGGGAAGGAUCCCACUUAGUGGGAGACAGCCAGUGCCACAGAAAAUAACUAUCCGCCGAAGAGGCGGAAAAAGGUGAAAACGUGAGGUAAGAGCUCACGCUGAUCGGUAGCGAUACAGGUCAGGGGUAAACCUCAGGAGCUGAAAGACCAAAUAAGUCAUGGUUAAGGGCUGCACGUCCGAACUCCUUCGGGAAACCAUGAUGGGUAGGUUGAUUGAGGUGAUGUGUGAAUAUCAUCCCAGAUAAAUGAUGGAUUCCG
This 335-nucleotide RNase P RNA is filed under the name Bacteroidia bacterium. RNAcentral's name for it is "partial RNase P RNA component class A". It matches the Rfam family "Bacterial RNase P class A", at positions 1 to 324 of the family's 367-position model. From Rfam's summary of the family: Ribonuclease P (RNase P) is a ubiquitous endoribonuclease, found in archaea, bacteria and eukarya as well as chloroplasts and mitochondria. Its best characterised activity is the generation of mature 5'-ends of tRNAs by cleaving the 5'-leader elements of precursor-tRNAs. Cellular RNase Ps are ribonucleoproteins. Lineage: Bacteria; Pseudomonadati; Bacteroidota; Bacteroidia. The record is from RNAcentral.